This is a non-coding RNA of Pelobates cultripes (western spadefoot toad), 228 nucleotides long. NCBI's taxonomy places the organism in Eukaryota, Metazoa, Chordata, Amphibia, Anura, Pelobatidae. The record is from the annotation of a GenBank genome assembly.
CUCAGUUGCUGUUGUGUUAUAUCCAUCGGUUUCCUUUUUAAAUGUUCCAUAGUUUGCUGUCUUUUUUGCCGGCAUCGGCUCGUGUUGAUACUUCCGCUACCGGGUUAUGCGUUCCAUGUGUGGAACGUAUGCGUCAUAUUCUUCGUAUUGGAACGCAUCCCUGCGUUCCACUGUGAUCGCAAGUUAUCAAUACGCUCUUUUACAGUCGUUUUCAGAGCGUAUGAUGCU